This 76-nucleotide transfer RNA is filed under the name Merdimmobilis hominis. Its description in RNAcentral is "tRNA-Thr". It matches the Rfam family "tRNA". Rfam says of the family: Transfer RNA (tRNA) molecules are approximately 80 nucleotides in length. Their secondary structure includes four short double-helical elements and three loops (D, anti-codon, and T loops). Further hydrogen bonds mediate the characteristic L-shaped molecular structure. tRNAs have two regions of fundamental functional importance: the anti-codon, which is responsible for specific mRNA codon recognition, and the 3' end, to which the tRNAs corresponding amino acid is attached (by aminoacyl-tRNA synthetases). tRNAs cope with the degeneracy of the genetic code in two manners: having more than one tRNA (with a specific anti-codon) for a particular amino acid; and 'wobble' base-pairing, i.e. permitting non-standard base-pairing at the 3rd anti-codon position. RNAcentral also lists the same sequence under 1 other name. Lineage: Bacteria; Bacillati; Bacillota; Clostridia; Eubacteriales; Oscillospiraceae. The record is from RNAcentral.
GCUGGUAUGGCUCAGUUGGUAGAGCAGCGCAUUCGUAAUGCGCAGGCCGUCGGUUCGAGUCCGACUACCAGCUCCA